CCUACGGGAGGCAGCAGUGGGGAAUUUUGGACAAUGGGGGCAACCCUGAUCCAGCAAUGCCGCGUGUGUGAAGAAGGCCUUCGGGUUGUAAAGCACUUUUGGCGGGAGCGAAAGGGCCUGGGCUAAUACCCCGGGUUGAUGACGGUACCCGCAGAAUAAGCACCGGCUAACUACGUGCCAGCAGCCGCGGUAAUACGUAGGGUGCGAGCGUUAAUCGGAAUUACUGGGCGUAAAGCGAGCGCAGGCGGUUGUGUAAGACAGAUGUGAAAUCCCCGGGCUCAACCUGGGAACUGCAUUUGUGACUGCACGGCUAGAGUGCGUCAGAGGGGGGUGGAACUCCACGUGUAGCAGUGAAAUGCGUAGAGAUGUGGAAGAACACCGAUGGCGAAGGCAGCCCCCUGGGAUGACACUGACGCUCAUGCUCGAAAGCGUGGGGAGCAAACAGGAUUAGAUACCCUAGUAGUC
This 465-nucleotide ribosomal RNA is filed under the name uncultured bacterium. Its description in RNAcentral is "bacterial SSU rRNA". It matches the Rfam family "Bacterial small subunit ribosomal RNA", at positions 338 to 795 of the family's 1533-position model. The record is from RNAcentral.